Alosa sapidissima (American shad) is the source of this 331-nucleotide long non-coding RNA. RefSeq lists it as uncharacterized. The transcript is spliced from 3 exons. The record is from RefSeq and is a predicted model, not a curated record. NCBI's taxonomy places the organism in Eukaryota, Metazoa, Chordata, Actinopteri, Clupeiformes, Clupeidae.
AUUUCAUGGCAAGACAUAAUACCAAACGUGGACAUGUUCUGCCUGACCGAGAGGGGUAUAAAAAGAGAACGGGCCCUUGUUCAGGGCUCUUUGUUCUUCUUUUUCAUUUUUCUUCGGGUCGAGCCGCAGAGACUUGAACGCAUUUUUCUUUCUUUGUAUUAUUAUUUGUAUUUAAUAAAAGUCAAAAUCCUAACCUUUGAUUAGGGGUUUGUAAAAAGACCGUCUAGCGUUUUCUCGUAUUUCUCUGCCUCUCCUGUGUUGCUGAGAACCCCGGACGCCUUGCAACAGGGGCUCUGCCCCAAAAACCUUCGCUCCGGAAAAGAAGCACUGA